GACGAACGCUGGCGGCGUGCUUAACACAUGCAAGUCGAACGGAAAGGCCCCUUUGGGGGUCCUCGAGUGGCGAACGGGUGAGUAACACGUGAGUAACCUGCCCUUGACUUCGGGAUAACUUCAGGAAACUGGGGCUAAUACCGGAUAGGAAUCCUUGCUGCAUGGGGGGGGUUGGAAAGCUUCUGCGGUUUUGGAUGGACUCGCGGCUUAUCAGCUUGUUGGUGGGGUGGUGGGUUACCAAGGCUUUGACGGGUAGCCGGCCUGAGGGGGCGACCGGCGACAUUGGGACUGAGGUACGGCCCAGACGCCGACGGGAGGCAGCAGGGGGGAAUAUUGCACAAGGGGCGGAGGCUGGAUGAAGAAGCGCCGCGGGCGGGAUGACGGCCUUGGGGUUGUAGAACGCUUUCAGCAGGGGCGAAGCUUGUGGUGACGGUACCUGCAGAAGAAGCACCGGCUAACUACGUG
RNAcentral lists this ribosomal RNA (465 nucleotides) under uncultured bacterium. RNAcentral describes it as "partial 16S ribosomal RNA". It matches the Rfam family "Bacterial small subunit ribosomal RNA", at positions 28 to 507 of the family's 1533-position model. The record is from RNAcentral.